CACCUUAACCUUACUCCAACAGGGGCAGUCAUAUAGCGACCGAUGUAAAGGGAAAGGAAAUCGGAGGAAAGGAGACAGAAGAUUAAUGGAAAUGGAGGGGGAAGAGAGAGAGAGGGACAGAAAGAGAGAGAGAGAGUGAAAGAAACACCAGAGGCUAGUGGGAGUCCUGAGUUUUCUCCCCAUGUGUCGAAUCUCAGGCAGAUUUGCAACGCAAGUCGCUAAGUAUCUUAACUGUUCAGAGCUAUGCGGCUUUAAGGUCUUGUGUGAAAUUAAAAGGGAAAACUUAACACGACCGGCCCCGGGGCCUUCAUCCUCUUCCCUCGUCAAGCAUUUCCGUCAACUCUCUUCAUGUUCCCAAGCCAGUUAUGGCGCUAAAAGACACAGGGUUAUUUCGCGCCCUCCACACUGGUGUGGCUUGAUAAUUCUCACAGUCAACACCCACCUUGCCCAAACUAUCUGGCUUCUUUCCCACAUAUUAUUAGCUAAAGAACUUAGCUGCCCCGAUCUUCUUACGGUAAAGAUCUUAGCCUUUUAGUCGCGAGGAUCGCCUUAACUUGCCACCCUAUAAAGUGCUUUAGUGGAAGACCCUUCCUCAGUCGCGCCAGGGAUCUCUGCUGCUAUCAGCCGCCCCCAUGGCCAAGCUUCUGGUGUAGAAAUAUUUUGCUGUGCUACAUACGCUGGUGUGGGUAGUCUUACCUUUCGACAGGAAACACAAGCCCAUCUGUUCGUAACCCUGUGCUUUAUUUCUCGCCCUCUGAAGUGUUCCAGUAUGAGGUCUCCAUCCCACCCCAACAACAGGAUGUUCGCUAAUGCUGACCACGUAACUUGCGGCUGAACUGGUCAACGAUCACAUCUGACCUCACUGGUGUCUGCUACACUCGACAAUUCCAGCCUCGUUCACGGAUUUUAUUGCUCAAGCUUCAGUGUAGGAUACGUGGCAGUGUGUGCACUUGAAUGAUGUGGUGAUUCGCUUCAUAGUUUGCCAAUAGUGCGUACGUGCUGGGGACACCUCAAAUGGCCGGUCUUUGCUGCCGACCGCGUCUGUGUACAUACAACAGGCACUGUGGACACGGACAGCGUGCGCCUGACUUUUCUUUAUAGUCAACCUGUGAAGUCGCCACUGCGGUAAACUUUAUUAUAUCGUAUAACUUGCACAGACCAAGACACUAGUGUUACACUAUUCUUUGCAACAUACUCUAUCGACCUAACAGUAGUGUUACAGUAGUUUUUUGUCUGACAACAUACCCCAAGUAGACCAAGAAAAUAGUAUUAUUACUAUUACUUUAUCUGACUACAUAUUCUACAGAAUGUCCGUGUUCCUUAAAUUUUAAUUGGGAAACAUCGCCGUUUAAUGUCAAACGCCAAAUCCUCUUAAAUACUGCAGGUUAGUAGGUAGGGGUUUUUUUUUUUUUUUUGUUUUUUUUUUUAGAAAUUCUGCUUCCAUGGUGAAACUGUAGCAAAUUACACUCGCAAGUAUUUAUGUGUUGAAAUGCUACAGGUAUAGUCAUACCUCCAUCUCUCUAUCUGAAACUCUUCCACCUUCCUCUCUCGAAACAGCUUCGUCUUUUUUUUUAAUCAACAAAACAUAAUUGGUAAGCAGAAAGACAUGGAUUUGAAUCUCUUGGAUUACUCCCCCUUUAACGCGUUGCCGGAGGUCAUGACCACACGUCCCAUCACAGACCUGCGCCAUGGUGUUCAUUUGUGUACCUCGCACCAUCAGCCGGGUCUUCAUCACCUUCUACCUCACUUCCCUCACACCCUCUCCCCACCCCAUCUCUCCCCUCUUUCCCCCCUAGCCUUCGCCGGCAGCGUGCGUUUGUCUUCAAGUCAAAAAACGACCACGUAACGAAGGCCAUUUUGGGCAAAAGCCGAGAUUAGGUUCCAGUGUCCCCCAUCCCCAGGCAAAGGAUCCUCAAACGCCCCAAGAGCGCCAUCCUGUCUCUUCCCCCCUCUAUCCCCCUCCCCCCAGCCCAUCUCGUGAUGCGAGUGUGCAUGAUGCUAGUGCUGCUGUUGCUGCUGCAGCAAGACCUCCACACCCUGAGCAAGAAGCGCCGGACGAAAAUCCACGACAAAGCAGGCCCCUGUGCUAAUUUCGCCGAGGUUAGGGCCUGUUCGUAAAGCACAUUAAUUCCGCCAGUGCCUGUUGUUGCCCAGGGGAUAAUGUUUGCAUGUGGCAAUUGGAGACGGGUCGGUGAGCAGACAUUCACAUGAACGUCAUAGACACGCGAACACGCAACGCUCGGAAAGCCUUCAAUAUGCCAUUCUCCUACCUGCCGGCUCAACCUGUAGAGGCACAGGUUGAGGGUCUGGCCACUAAUCUGUAAACCCAAAGAAGGCCUGCCCACUGACUCGCAGUGUCAAAGAGAACAGUGCCACCCGGCCCCAGUUUAUAAACCUGUAAUGUGAUUGGGGAGCCAGUCCACCCAUACGCAAAAUUAUGGGCGACCUGUCCACUAAUAUGCAAAUUCAAAGAAGGCAGAAAUAAAGAAAUUAACGUCACCAGUAUGGGAAAGAGGGAACGGAGCAGCCAAAGACAGGUAUGCGAGAAGGGUGGAACGUAAAGGCACAGCACUUCAGGGUAUCACCGAUACCUGCUAACCAGCUCAUCAAACAAGACAUUUUCCACAAAUCUGUCAAAAGAUUUGUCUGGUCUUCGUUCUCUAGAACCACACUUCAAGCGCAGGGAAGAAUAACAGCGCACCAAGGCGCACGCCACCAGACGUGUAACCAAACGCCAGGCGACAAUGCCAGGCCUCUUCGGAAGAAAAGGCAGAAACAAAAAGUCCGCCACCACGUUCGACAACUCCUGUGUGAGGUACAAAUUCUAGUUACAGCACUGGAAUUCUGGAUGUGUUGUAGGUGCCUUGACAAUUAUAGAUCAACAGAUUCUGUCACAAUGAGAGGAAGGCAUCUACUAAGCUUUGUAAUAAGGUUACCCUUCUAACUUUCUACAGACAAUGCAUGCCUUCCUCAUCAGAAUCAAAUGGAUUCAUUAACUGUUGGCGUGUCAUCAGCUUAGGCUUGUCCAUUUCUGCCUUGCUGGAUAUAAGGCCGGAGUCUGGAGGAAGAGGAGCC
This 3075-nucleotide long non-coding RNA is filed under the name Pomacea canaliculata. RNAcentral describes it as "uncharacterized LOC112571195, transcript variant X4". Lineage: Eukaryota; Metazoa; Mollusca; Gastropoda; Architaenioglossa; Ampullariidae. The record is from RNAcentral.